CCUACGGGUGGCAGCAGUGGGGGAUAUUGCACAAUGGGGGAAACCCUGAUGCAGCGACGCCGCGUGGGCGAAGAAGGAUUUCGGUAUGUAAAGCCCUAUCAGCAGGGAAGAAGAAAUGACGGUACCUGACUAAGAAGCCCCGGCUAACUACGUGCCAGCAGCCGCGGUAAUACGUAGGGGGCGAGCGUUAUCCGGAUUCACUGGGUGUAAAGGGAGCGUAGACGGCCAUGCAAGCCAGGGGUGAAAGCCCGGGGCCCAACCCCGGGACUGCCGUUGGAACUGCAUGGCUGGAGUGCGGGAGGGGCAGGCGGAAUUCCGGGUGUAGCGGUGAAAUGCGUAGAUAUCAGGAGGAACACCGGCGGCGAAGGCGGCCUGCUGGACCGCGACUGACGUUGAGGCUCGAAAGCGUGGGGAGCGAACAGGAUUAGAUACCCCGGUAGUC
RNAcentral lists this ribosomal RNA (442 nucleotides) under uncultured bacterium. RNAcentral describes it as "partial 16S ribosomal RNA". It matches the Rfam family "Bacterial small subunit ribosomal RNA", at positions 338 to 795 of the family's 1533-position model. The record is from RNAcentral.